CUUUUUUAGAGGAUACUAGUGAGUUUCUUUGAAAUUUCUUUUGUUGUCUGUCUGCAUUGUCUCUUUGUCUUCUAAGAUUAUUUUUUUUCCUUUUUGUUUGGACUGUAUCUGUUAUGUUGGAGUCUUUCCUAAAAUAUCUGCUGGCCCUUGGCUGUCUGCAUUUAAGAGUGAGUAUUGAAAAAUCUGAUUUUGGUGGGAAGGGUAAAUUCUAAUGAAUGGUGAGUUUUACUGGAGGAUUAAGAAGCUAGGAUGAGCAGACUUCUCGUGGGCUUGCCCAAUGUUAGCAUUCAGAGGAUCCACCACUUUCUAGCUUUAAAAGGAGCAAGUCAACCAGGUCUGACAGCUUUCUGGGAAAUGCGUGGGCAAAAAGGCUGGAAGGCCUUGCAGACUGUUUUGUAGUAUGA
This is a long non-coding RNA of Pipistrellus kuhlii (Kuhl's pipistrelle), 404 nucleotides long. RefSeq lists it as uncharacterized. The record is from RefSeq and is a predicted model, not a curated record. The transcript is spliced from 2 exons. NCBI's taxonomy places the organism in Eukaryota, Metazoa, Chordata, Mammalia, Chiroptera, Vespertilionidae.